GGGGGUGUAAAGGUUUCGACAGGGAUUUUGAAAUAAGCUAAGCGUGUCGUGUCGGUCACUCACGUUAAAGGACCAGUUUAUUAAAAAUAAACGCUAAUAAAUACGAACAACCGGCUCUUUUAGCUGCCUAAGGGUAGCGGAGCCUGUCCGACUCUGUUAAUCGGCGGCAGAGAUUCGGGCAUCAUUUAAGCCGGUGAACGGUUUUUUCUGCUCUGCUCGUGCGGAGAAAACAGGUAUAAUCGGGCUGCUUGUGCAAAAGUUUGAAUGUUGACGUUUGUAUGAAAAGAUAAAAAAUAUUCUACACACGUAGAAAAGUUUACGGAUAGAUUUUUGGACACGAGUUCAAUUCUCGUCACCUCCAA
RNAcentral lists this transfer-messenger RNA (362 nucleotides) under Ruminococcus sp. It matches the Rfam family "transfer-messenger RNA". From Rfam's summary of the family: Bacterial tmRNA, also known as 10Sa RNA or SsrA, is named for its dual tRNA and mRNA-like properties. Its role is to liberate the mRNA from a stalled ribosome. The record is from RNAcentral. Lineage: Bacteria; Bacillati; Bacillota; Clostridia; Eubacteriales; Oscillospiraceae.